This 380-nucleotide ribosomal RNA is filed under the name uncultured bacterium. RNAcentral describes it as "bacterial SSU rRNA". It matches the Rfam family "Bacterial small subunit ribosomal RNA", at positions 30 to 412 of the family's 1533-position model. The record is from RNAcentral.
AUUGAACGCUGGCAGCAUGCCUUACACAUGCAAGUCGAACGGCAGCACGGGAGCAAUCCUGGUGGCGAGUGGCGAACGGGUGAGUAAUAUAUCGGAACGUGCCCGGUCGUGGGGAUAACGUAGCGAAAGCUACGCUAAUACCGCAUACGAUCUACGGAUGAAAGCGGGGGAUCGCAAGACCUCGCGCGAUUGGAGCGGCCGAUAUCAGAUUAGGUAGUUGGUGAGGUAAAGGCUCACCAAGCCGACGAUCUGUAGCUGGUCUGAGAGGACGACCAGCCACACUGGGACUGAGACACGGCCCAGACUCCUACGGGAGGCAGCAGUGGGAAAUUUGGACAAUGGGCGCAAGCCUGAUCCAGCAAUGCCGCGUGCAGGAUGAA